Molecule: ribosomal RNA, 301 nt
Filed under: uncultured bacterium
Lineage: Bacteria
Description: partial 16S ribosomal RNA
Rfam family: Bacterial small subunit ribosomal RNA
Source: RNAcentral
CAGCAGCCACGGUAAUACGUAGGGUGCAAGCGUUAAUCGGAAUUACUGGGCGUAAAGCGUGCGCAGGCGGUUUGUUAAGACAGAUGUGAAAUCCCCGGGCUCAACCUGGGAACUGCAUUUGUGACUGGCAAGCUAGAGUAUGGCAGAGGGGGGUGGAAUUCCGCGUGUAGCAGUGAAAUGCGUAGAUAUGCGGAGGAAUACCGAUGGCGAAGGCAGCCCCCUGGGCCAAUACUGACGCUCAUGCACGAAAGCGUGGGGAGCAAACAGGAUUAGAUACCCCAGUAGUCCCUGUCUCUUAUAC